RNAcentral lists this ribosomal RNA (473 nucleotides) under Fusarium cf. solani. Its description in RNAcentral is "partial large subunit ribosomal RNA". It matches the Rfam family "Eukaryotic large subunit ribosomal RNA", at positions 74 to 558 of the family's 3401-position model. The record is from RNAcentral. Lineage: Eukaryota; Fungi; Ascomycota; Sordariomycetes; Hypocreales; Nectriaceae.
AUUGCCUCAGUAACGGCGAGUGAAGCGGCAACAGCUCAAAUUUGAAAUCUGGCUCUCGGGCCCGAGUUGUAAUUUGUAGAGGAUGCUUUUGGUGAGGUGCCUUCCGAGUUCCCUGGAACGGGACGCCAUAGAGGGUGAGAGCCCCGUCUGGUUGGACACCGAUCCUCUGUAAAGCUCCUUCGACGAGUCGAGUAGUUUGGGAAUGCUGCUCUAAAUGGGAGGUAUAUGUCUUCUAAAGCUAAAUACCGGCCAGAGACCGAUAGCGCACAAGUAGAGUGAUCGAAAGAUGAAAAGAACUUUGAAAAGAGAGUUAAACAGUACGUGAAAUUGUUGAAAGGGAAGCGCUUGUGACCAGACUUGGGCUUGGUUGAUCAUCCGGGGUUCUCCCCGGUGCACUCUUCCGGCUCAGGCCAGCAUCAGUUCGCCCUGGGGGAUAAAGGCUUCGGGAAUGUGGCUCUCUCCGGGGAGUGUUA